RNAcentral lists this ribosomal RNA (253 nucleotides) under uncultured bacterium. RNAcentral's name for it is "partial 16S ribosomal RNA". It matches the Rfam family "Bacterial small subunit ribosomal RNA", at positions 524 to 776 of the family's 1533-position model. The record is from RNAcentral.
UACGGAGGGUGCAAGCGUUAUCCGGAUUCACUGGGUUUAAAGGGUGCGUCGGAGGGCAGGUAAGUCAGUGGUGAAAUCUCCGAGCUUAACUUGGAAACUGCCGUUGAUACUAUCUGUCUUGAAUAUUGUGGAGGUGAGCGGAAUAUGUCAUGUAGCGGUGAAAUGCUUAGAUAUGACAUAGAACACCAAUUGCGAAGGCAGCUCGCUACACAUAUAUUGACUCUGAGGCACGAAAGCGUGGGGAUCAAACAGG